Sturnus vulgaris (Common starling) is the source of this 2142-nucleotide non-coding RNA. The record is from RefSeq and is a predicted model, not a curated record. Lineage: Eukaryota; Metazoa; Chordata; Aves; Passeriformes; Sturnidae.
AUUAUUUUUAUUAAAUAAAAGAGCGUUUACAGAUCAAGUGUGAAAAUCUUCUGAAUAAUGUUAGCUGUUUUAUUUUAUUGUAUUUUAUUUUCUGAACUGUUCACCGAUCCACAGGUAGCUUUGUCUUGCCAUUUUUUGAAGAACACACUGGGAAAAGCACUUGUGUUGUCUGAAAGGGAUUGUUAGUUCAGGGGGCCAAGGAUCUGGUCACAUCGAGGAGCCUCUUUCCAGUGAGGGAGGGACUUGGCCUGCAUCACUCUGCUCACACAAAAUGAGUUUCCCAGAGCCAGAGGAGCCUUGGAGGAUUUCAGACGAUGUCCAUCAGCCUUCCUGUGCUAUAAGUACCCCCAGUCCCACCCUGCAUCCCCUUGCCCAGAAGAAGGUUCCCUCUGGGUUGGGUGGCAGUCCUGCUGCCUGUGCAGCUUUCACCAGUUGAAGCUCUUUGUCUUAUUUCUUAACGUUCUCUGUUCUUUGGAAAAGUUCAAAGUCUGUUGAGAUUGCUCCUUUAUUACAGCCAGUGUCCUGGCAGGCAGCUCCACUUGCAGCUCUCAUCAUCCCUGGUAUGAACUGCUGUAUGAACAGCUGGUUUAUAGGAACAUCUCUGUGACAUGAGAACUCAUUUCCCAAGGAGGAUCACGAAUAUUGAGGGCAUCAUCUCACAUCCAGGAGUAUGGGGGUGCAAGGUGGGUCUCAGCACCCAAAUCCAACAGAGCCACAUGAGGAUAGACCAUAAAAGGGAGCAGGAAGACCAUGCCCUCACUUGAGCACAGGUGUCAUCAACAAAGGUAUGAACUUGUUGGCUUCAACUAGUUUAAAACUGCUGAAGCUGGCUCCAGUUUAGUCUGUUUGUGUGAUUGUCAAUUCUAUGUUGGCCAGUUCAGAGAGAGCAUCUGAGCUGCCUUGGAUCCAAGGUCCUGCUUUGCUUCUGUGGCUCUGAGAGCAGCUUGUAGCAGAUUUUAGGGAAUAAUGAAGAGCGAGGACCCUUCCCAGGAGGCUCGGGGUUCAUUAGGUGCUCUGGGAUUUCCUGGGGUCAGCAGUGCCUUUUGCACUAGUGGAGAAAUUCCACUGACAUGUGUUUCCUGUCAGCAGUGCUCUGCAGCAGGAGGUCUGGAUGGCUUUCAAAAGCAUGCUUAAGUCAAAAACCAGCAGUUUUGUGUGUGUGAGAGUAAUGGGGUGAAAGGGUUUUAUCAGGAGGUGAGAUGAGCUCACCUGAGCAUCCCAGCUUUCCUGCAUGCAAUGCCUGCAGCCUUUGGUCCAAAUUGUUUUGGGCACAGCCCAGGAUAUUGCAUUUGCAGGAGCAGCCUUGAGGUCCUCCAGAACUCUGUGACCUGCUGCAGGGUUCACUCCCAAACAUGAGAAACAUUUGCUUUAAGUCAGCUGCUACAUGGAGGAAUAGAUGGUUCUGUUGCUGCUUGAAACAGUUGUGUUUGCUGGACCAUGACUUUAUGGCCUUUUUUCUUGUUUUUCAAUUGCUCUCCAUGGAAAAGAAGAACAGAACAAGUUUCUCACCACUGGACAUAUCUGAUAAAAUAAUUUCUGGUGAAGGUUGCCUUUUCUUCAUCUGUGCAUGUGGCAUUGCUGUAAAGUAUUCAUCUUAAUUUUGAUACCUUAAGGUGUUGCUGAAAGACUCCCCGAGUGAAAAAUGAAAUAAAUGUAUAGACAAAUAUUUAGAACACUGCACCCACAUUUCUUUUCUGACCUGACUGAACUUUUUUUGAAGAGUGAAAAGCUGAAUUCUGGUCUUUUGCUACCAGGAUAACUUUUGGCACUAGAAAAAUCCAAACGAUUCCUCUUGCAGACCAAACCAUGCAGGGUUGGACUCUGAGUGUGGCAGACCUGGCAGCCUGGCUGCUGGGAUGCUGACUUAUACCCUGCUGGAGAGCCCCCUUUCCCAGCUUAUUCCUGCAGUCACAAUUCCUGGAUAAUCUAGUGAUAAGGCCUCUCUGUGUAAGGUGUAAGGCUGAGUUUGUUCUUGGUUCCAUGAUGCAGACACUUGACCUGAAAUGGCUCCUUGAGCAGGGUUUGCCAGAAUGAGGUUCCUGUUAACUUAGGCAGCCUUUAGGCAGCAUAAACACCACUCUCAUUGUCUCUGCUGUGCUGUUACCCAGACAGGGCACACGUCCACAGGGGCCACCAAAUGCA